GACGAACGCUGGCGGCGUGGAUUAGGCAUGCAAGUCGAACGGUAGGAUACCUUCGGGUAUCUGAGAGUGGCGAACGGGUGAGUAACACGUAGGUGAUCUACCCUCAAGAUUGGGACAACCCAGGGAAACUUGGGCUAAUACCGGAUGAAAGCAGCAGUGAUGUUGUUUGAAAGGUGGCGUAAGCUGCCGUUUGGGGAUGAGCCUGCGCUCUAUUAGUUAGUUGGCGGGGUAAAGGCCCACCAAGGCGAUGAUAGAUAGGCGGCCUUAACGGGUGGUCGCCCACACUGGGAUUGAGAUACGGCCCAGACUCCUACGGGAGGCAGCAGUCGAGAAUAGCUACAAUGGCCGAAAGGCUGAUAGUGCGACGCCGCGUGAACGAAGAAGCCCUUCGGGGUGUAAGUUCUUUUAUAUGUAGCAGUGCUUUCUAUGUGAACAGCAUGGGGAGAGAUAUUAGCAUAUGAUAAGCAACGGCAACUCCGUGCCAGC
Molecule: ribosomal RNA, 486 nt
Filed under: uncultured bacterium
Lineage: Bacteria
Description: bacterial SSU rRNA
Rfam family: Bacterial small subunit ribosomal RNA
Source: RNAcentral